Molecule: ribosomal RNA, 433 nt
Filed under: uncultured bacterium
Lineage: Bacteria
Description: partial 16S ribosomal RNA
Rfam family: Bacterial small subunit ribosomal RNA
Source: RNAcentral
AACGAACGCUGGCGGCAUGCCUAACACAUGCAAGUCGAACGAGACCUUCGGGUCUAGUGGCGCACGGGUGCGUAACGCGUGGGAACCUGCCCUUAGGCUCGGAAUAACUCCCCGAAAGGGGUGCUAAUACCGGAUAAUGUCUUCGGACCAAAGAUUUAUCGCCUUUGGAUGGGCCCGCGUUGGAUUAGCUAGUUGGUAGGGUAAAAGCCUACCAAGGCGACGAUCCAUAGCUGGGCUGAGAGGAUGAUCAGCCACACUGGGACUGAGACACGGCCCAGACUCCUACGGGAGGCAGCAGUGGGGAAUAUUGGACAAUGGGCGAAAGCCUGAUCCAGCAAUGCCGCGUGAGUGAUGAAGGCCGUAGGGUUGUAAAGCUCUUUUACCCGGGAUGAUAAUGACAGUACCGGGAGAAUAAGCACCGGCUAACUCCGUG